RNAcentral lists this ribosomal RNA (414 nucleotides) under Geminigera cryophila. Its description in RNAcentral is "partial Bacterial small subunit ribosomal RNA". It matches the Rfam family "Bacterial small subunit ribosomal RNA", at positions 1043 to 1430 of the family's 1533-position model. Lineage: Eukaryota; Cryptophyceae; Pyrenomonadales; Geminigeraceae. RNAcentral also lists the same sequence under 1 other name. The record is from RNAcentral.
GCAUGGCUGUCGUCAGCUCGUGUCUUGAGAUGUUAGGUUAAGUCCAGUAACGAGCGAAACCCUUUUUCUUUGUUGCAAAAGAUUUUUUAUUCAGUUACAUUAAUUGAGUUAUAUUCAUGCACUCAAAGAGUAUUGCCUACGAUAUGUAGGAUGAAAGAAAGGAUGACGUCAAGUCUUCAUGGCCCUUAUAGGUUGGGCUACAUAUGUGUUACAACGAUAACAACAAUAAGUUGCAAUAAUGAAAAUUGAAGCAAAUCUAGAAAAGUUAUCUUAGUUCAGAUUGUUUUCUGUAACUCGAAAACAUGAAGUUGGAAUGAAUAGUAAUCGUUUAUCAGCAAGGAACGGUGAAUUUUGUACCUAAAUCUUGUACAUACCGCCCGUCACAUCGAGAGAGUUUAUCUAAUUUAAAGGUAA